Alosa sapidissima (American shad) is the source of this 235-nucleotide long non-coding RNA. RefSeq lists it as uncharacterized. The transcript is spliced from 3 exons. The record is from RefSeq and is a predicted model, not a curated record. NCBI's taxonomy places the organism in Eukaryota, Metazoa, Chordata, Actinopteri, Clupeiformes, Clupeidae.
CUGAGCCCUGAGGUGCCUCACCGAAAUUCCAGAACAGAUCAUCUGUAGAGAAACGACACAGAAUGCCGCGAAAAGAAACAGCAAGGAAAUUGGAGGAUGCUGACCAUGCACUGGUAUGUUCUGUGUUCCGCUAACCUGACUGCAGUGGGAAUAGAUAUUGACGGCGAAGUGGGAACCGGGAGUGAGGAGGACACCAAACCCAAGGCCAAUGGUAGAGGAAGGCAAGCCGCGGGCA